Non-coding RNA from Drosophila takahashii, 1045 nucleotides. The record is from RefSeq and is a predicted model, not a curated record. NCBI's taxonomy places the organism in Eukaryota, Metazoa, Arthropoda, Insecta, Diptera, Drosophilidae.
UCUGUCAGCCAGCCGCAGUCGCAGUUCGCAGCCGCAGUCCGCUGUUCGCAGUCCGCUCGCCAUUUUGGCCCGUUCAAAAUAUUCGUAAGGCCGCUGGCAUUCGCAGUCGCAGUCGCAUGCUGAGAGGAAAUAGGCGCGCUACAGAUUUCGAUUACGAUUUUCUUUCUGUUUCUGGUUCGGAUUCUUAGAGAAGAGGUCCCAGAACAAAAAAAAAAGAGAGAGGGGGUAGAUGGUAACAACAGCAGUCAGCAGCAGCAGCAGCAGCAGCAGCGGCGAAUUAAUGAUUAUAGCUGGAGAUUACAAGCGCAUUGAUUGCGGCCAACGUUCCAGGAGGCAAAACAUCGAAUAACAAUAUCUGAAUUAGUGGAAGCAGAGCUAAAAAACCAACCACUUGGCCGAAACAAACUAAAAAUAAUUUGAAGCCCAAGAAAUGUUAAAAAUAAAACCAAAAGAAAUCAACGAAUUUUUUUCGGCGGCAACACAAGGCGGCGGCAGCCGUGGCGGCAAAAAAAUAUGAACAGAAUUAAAAGGCAGCCGCUUGGAGCUAGAAAAAAACCCAAUCAGCGAGGAGGAGCAGCAGCAGAAGCAGCAAAAGCGAAUUUUUUACACAAAAAAAUAGAAGCCGCACCGCAGCAGUAAAUAGCCAGAAAUUGUCGCUGUCGUCGACGUCGUCGUCGUCGUCGUCCAGCCGAGGUAGCCAUAGCCUCCAUCAGCAGAGCAGCGGAAAAGCUGCGGAAAAUCAACGGAAAAGCGAGGCCAUCAAGAGCGUGUGGGCGGCGUUGGCUGGCAAGGACAGCCGUUGGUCGUUGACGUUGGCAGCGCCUGAAAACUGAAAACUGAGGAGGGAGAAGAGGCCGAGGCUGAAACUGAGGCAGCGGUAGCGGCGACGUUGUCGUGGCCACACGGUCGUCCACGGGCCACUUUCGCGAAUCAAUUUCCGUUGCGGUGGCCGUUUCAGUUUUGGUUUCAACGUCGCCGGCGCUACGCGUGUCGUGAAUUCCCAAUGGCGGUCCUCCUCCCACUGGGUGUUUCAAUUUAGAAGUGC